ACAAGGUCUCCGUAGGUGAACCUGCGGAGGGAUCAUUACACACAUA
This 46-nucleotide ribosomal RNA is filed under the name Alternaria gansuensis. Its description in RNAcentral is "partial 18S ribosomal RNA". The record is from RNAcentral. Lineage: Eukaryota; Fungi; Ascomycota; Dothideomycetes; Pleosporales; Pleosporaceae.